GGGAAUAUAGCUUAGUAGUAGAGCAUUUGUCUAGUACAUAAGAAGGCUUUGGGUUCAAUCUCCAGUACUGCCA
RNAcentral lists this transfer RNA (73 nucleotides) under Fukomys damarensis (Damara mole-rat). It matches the Rfam family "tRNA". Rfam says of the family: Transfer RNA (tRNA) molecules are approximately 80 nucleotides in length. The record is from Rfam by way of RNAcentral. Lineage: Eukaryota; Metazoa; Chordata; Mammalia; Rodentia; Bathyergidae.